UUUAUUAUUAAAUAAAAUAUGAAUAAGGUAACAAAGUUUACUUAAAAAAAUUUACAUAAUUUUAAUCUAAUAAGCAAGAUGAUGUAAAUUUCCCGCUAGUUUUAACUCUGGUUGAGAAAGUCGUAGAUUGGUAUGAAACAUCAUUCAAUACAUGGGAACGUUGGAUAGACAAUCUUGUUCAUUAACAUCCUUAUCCUCCUUAUCAAGAGAACCAUCAUUUGCUCCUCCUAAUGUAGUUUCUCCGGUCAUUAUUGUCGCUUAUGUUGAGGCUCUUGUUCAAUCCCUUAUCACUGAGCCCACUCCAGUUAAUGCCUCUAUUUUUGCCACCAAGUGCACUUCAGACGAUUCCCACAUCACUGCAUAGGAAUUUUCCAUGUGUUACUUUGAUGUUGCAUUGACUCAUGUGACAAUCUUAUAAUAGAUCAAAUAACUCAUCUAAAGGAUAAAAUGACUUGUAUGGAGGAUAGGAUGACACGUAUGGAAGACACACUUACUCAUUUCUACAUAUAUACUAUUGUAUAGGUUAAAAAGUUAAUGAAAAUUGUUUGGACACUUUAAUUUAACAUGCAAACAUGUAAACCCUACUAUAAUUACAUACAUUGUUACAGUCUCCUCAUGACAAUGAUGACAAACCAUCGAUGGAAGAUCUUAUAUUCACGUCUCCACCUACACUCAAGUAUGUACUAAAUUAUUAAAACAUCUUAUAGGUGAUAUCUGAGAAAUACUUUGAUUACUUAUUAACUUGUGAUUGUUGAUAUUGUUACAACGUCAAUUUCUUUAUGAGGGACCAUCGAAGAAGGAUUCUAUAUUGACUUCUAUUUUAAUAGUCAAGUUACAACAUGUUGGUGAUGAGGGAUCAUAGCAUAAGUGUUCCUCAUUAACACCUUCUUUGAUAGUUGAGGGUCCCAAGGUUUAUGAGGCCCUAUCGAGGGGGGAUCUUAUAUUGACAUCUAUUUCGACAGUUGAGGAUGUUGACGAUGAGGAAUCAUCCUAUGAAGUUUUCCCAUUAUCACCUUCUUUAAUAGUUGAGGGUGACAAGGUGAUUAACAUUGCCUCUCAAGGGAAUGAAGUGGUUCAGAUCCCAUUAUAGAGGGAUGAAAUUGAGGUGUACGACAUACGGAUGAGGACCAAAUUUUUUUUUGGGGAUAUAGUUACGGACAAAUUAGGAUGGUUUUCUAAGGAGGAUUAGUACGUCGACGACAAUAUGAUGUUGUAGAAAAGGUCCAUCAAAACUAGAUGGUAGUCAUGGCUUAUUUUGUUGCACAUCUCCCGUAUGAGCAUGUCACAUGGAUGAAAGAUUAAGGGUAUACACCACAAGACGAUCCAUUUGUAUUGCAUAGGGUGGUAGAUAUACCGCAACAAGCACCCCUAUUAGGCAAUUGUGAUGACCCGUGCGACAGUGAUAGACAAUUGGUGGAUGGAUAACGCAUGUCUCUUUUACAUGUAACCACUUUGAUUAAUCCUUUAAUGGAUUAACAACCUUUACAUAACUACACGACAAAAUGUGGUACUGUAGUAGAGAUACACCCAGUGAACACAAGUGGUGAGCUUCAUAUACCUUGUUACGAUGAUGACAUGUGUGCAAAGAAUCUAUGAUAGUUGAAAAUUUCAACACGUAUAUAUCCGCUUCGUAAGGUCCACCACACCAUCAUAUUGGUCACUACCCAAAACCUCGUAUCGUUGAGAUAUAACAUGGUGCACCUCCAAGUUCAAAGACUUUCACACACACUUGGCAAUCUUCUCCUCUGCCCAAAGUGUUAUCGAGUUGGUACAAGCAUCU
Mangifera indica (mango) is the source of this 1780-nucleotide long non-coding RNA. RefSeq lists it as uncharacterized. The transcript has 9 exons. The record is from RefSeq and is a predicted model, not a curated record. Lineage: Eukaryota; Viridiplantae; Streptophyta; Magnoliopsida; Sapindales; Anacardiaceae.